Long non-coding RNA from Triticum aestivum (bread wheat), 2280 nucleotides. RefSeq lists it as uncharacterized. The transcript has 4 exons. NCBI's taxonomy places the organism in Eukaryota, Viridiplantae, Streptophyta, Magnoliopsida, Poales, Poaceae. The record is from RefSeq and is a predicted model, not a curated record.
CCGUCUCAGAUCAGAUGUUCUGCCAAAACAGACACGGUAGUCUGUCAAUCCUCGCUCCGCGUCCCCAAUCCCCGCAAACCCGCCGGCAAUUCACAGAUUUCCAGAUUGACUCCACCCGAAAUCAUGCCAGAAAAACGGAUCCGCAGCAACUUGCGCAGCCCCACCUUCCUUCCCCUGAUCCCCUCCUCCCGUGUGCUUCCUUCCCCAUCGCCGCGAGUUGACCCGUCCUCUGGUCGUCGCCCGCCGUACAGCAAGCCGCCGCCGACCUCCUCUGUCGGACGAGCAGAGCUCUGUCCGGACCUUCCCGACCAUAUCGACAUAUCGACGAUGACGACGAGCGAAUCUCCCCCCCCCCCCCCCCCGCGCGCGCGCACCGUCCGUCGUGUCCGCCUUGGCUAGCCGCACUACGCAUCUGUCCCACCUCCCAGCCAGCCCUGCCGCCCUAGGCAUGUGAUCGAUAAUAUUUCUCUGAAGGCAGAAAUUAUACACUGAUAUGUCGUUUCAACCAUUGGGUACCAUUCUGAUGAAGGUGAUUUGAUUCUUCCAAUCUGUUUGAGAAGCAAGCAGAUGAAGCAUAGGAGCGACAUGAUACUCCAUAUUCCCAGCAAAAAUCAUGGUUAAUGUUUUUAAUAUUCUCAUAGUAGUGUCCAAUUACUUACGACUAAUCUUAUUCAUAUAUGGUAAUUUACUGUAACGCACAGAACUUUAUUCAUAUAUCAAGACCACUUUGUAGUGUUUGCUUACUGUUUCUUUGGUCCUGUUAAUUGGUUGAUAUACUAGAUGAUUAUCUAUCCAUUCAACAUUGUGACUGGCCUUUUUUUCUCUUCAGUUAUAUGUAGAACCUGAUUGGUGAAGCUAAUUGUCAAAUCUGCCAGGAAAGCUUCGGCACCACUGCAAAUGAUUGUUCUUAUAUGUUGCAUAACACUAGCAGGAGUACAACAGAAGGGAAGUGGCAGAGAGGGAAUGACAGAGGCAGGCCUAAGCAUGUUCCUUAUAUUCUUCUAUCUCCUAUUUAUUGCAUGGGUCACCAUCAUGAGUGGGCAUUUGCUUACUGGGCAAAGGAGUAGAACCCACAUAUGGUUGUUUGACCAUGCUGGAAGUGACCGCUUGCCCAAAACUGAAUUAGAAGGAGAGAGGUCUAAGGAGGCAAAGUUCAUCGACAAGUCACUGUCUGCACUAGGUGAUGUUAUUGCUUCCCUUACCUUCAAAGCGCCCAUGUGCAUGUUUAUUCACCUUCGUUUUUGUUUUGUACUAUCACUGAAACUGAUUGCGUGCAUGCAACAGUUCAUUAGUGCCUAUGUAAUUGAUUAUCCAUGACAAAAAUAGCUCUUUGUAGUGUUCUCUAUUCUUGAGACUGUCGAAAACUCAAUGCUUAUAAAGAGCAAACUUUUUUGUGUGAUCAUCAUGGGAUUUAUUUUAUAGAUUGCAGUGGCUUUGCCAAAGUAUCAAGGCAACCAUUCAGAUGUUGGCGACAAUGAGGCACUGAGAAAGAAGAGUGCAUCUGUGGCUUUGUCUAACUUGUCGAGACCAGGCUCACGCUAUUGCUCAUAUCUUGCUUGUUAAAAUUCACAUCUUCUACACGUGAUAAGCAAGUUGCACUGAUUUUUCCAAGUACAUUCCCAGUAUAGUAGUAUUUCUUUCUUCAAAUGCAUCAUUGUAUUUUUAUAAAUGCAUGUUCCAGUGUAGUAGUUCUUUGUUUUCCAAAUGCAUGUUCUAAUUCAAAUAAUUAAUUUCAAGGUGCGGCCAUCAUAUGUCAUCAGGAUCAUUCUUAACCUGCAAAUUUUUACUCCCUCCGUUCCUAAAUAUAAGUCUUUUUAGAGAUUCAUAUAUGGACUACAUACGAAGCAAAAUGAGUGAAUCUACACUCUAAAAUAAGUCUAUAUACAUCCGUAUGUAGUGCAUAUUGAAAUUUCUAAGAAGACUUAUGUUUAGGAAUAGAGGGAGUAGUUUUGAGUUGUAAUCAAGUUAGAUAGCUUUUAGUUCGCACAACUUCAUUGUCUGAUUAUUCUAGCUUUAUACAUGACGUUGUCUUUUUUUGUAUCUUUCAGAGAAUCAGAGGAGGCACAACCAACUAAGAAUCAUGUCAGGUGAAAGGUACAAGCUAUUGUGGUUAUCCUAGGGCAUAUGGUAGUUUUUUCGGUAGAAGAAUUAAAGGAGUAGCAUUACGAGAGAUAUGUGACUGGACUUUUCGUGUACGCUCAAUUACCCAUUGUGUACUGAAUUUUCUGUAAUUCAACACGUGAGUUGUCGUCAGAUUUAAGAGGGGAUUUAGUUUGUUUC